This 220-nucleotide long non-coding RNA is filed under the name Lathyrus oleraceus (garden pea). RNAcentral describes it as "Pisum sativum (pea) long non-coding RNA (PSAT_LNC037853)". The record is from RNAcentral. Lineage: Eukaryota; Viridiplantae; Streptophyta; Magnoliopsida; Fabales; Fabaceae.
ACGAAGAGAGGUUAUAAGCAAAUAGUCUAGCCAAAAGAGCAGACGAGCCGACAAGAAAUACCUCAGUGCCCGCGGGAGCAGAGUGUUUGUGUUUUUUGGAUUUUUUGGAGGCAGAAGAGACAGUAGGUUCUGUCGAACGUGGUUGACCCUGCACAUAAGUGAAAAAUUAGCAACCACGUAAUGUUCCCCUGUAGAAGGCACAAGAGCAAAUAGAAAUGCU